Molecule: non-coding RNA, 115 nt
Organism: Ilex paraguariensis (yerba mate)
Lineage: Eukaryota; Viridiplantae; Streptophyta; Magnoliopsida; Aquifoliales; Aquifoliaceae
Source: the annotation of a GenBank genome assembly
GCGAUCAUACCGGCACUAAUACACCAGAUCCCAUCAGAACUCCGCAGUUAAGUGUGUUUGGGCGAGAGUAGUACUAGGAUAGGUGAUUCCUUGGAAAGUCCUUGUGUUACACCCC